CAAAUGACCGGCCCUUCGGGGCCAUGCUGGAGCGCGGUUGCCCCCCGAACCGCAGCAGCCGAACGGAGCGGUCACCCCCCGGACCGCACCGAACGGUGUUACCCAAUGUGAAAACCCCUCGUUGCUUCGGCAGCACCUCCCCGCCACCGGCCGGAAGGGUCAGCCUGCCGACGGCACUUUACAAAACUCAUCUUGCAGAAUCAGUACAUUGUCUGACAGCGCAGUCGAAUUGACUUUA
RNAcentral lists this unclassified non-coding RNA (238 nucleotides) under uncultured fungus. RNAcentral's name for it is "sequence contains ITS1, 5.8S rRNA gene". Lineage: Eukaryota; Fungi. The record is from RNAcentral.